CAGAGUUAAGAAAAAGCUGGUCCAAUUCUCUAGUGCUUGGUCUUUAAAUUAUCAUAAAAAGAAAUGGGAAUUUCUUCUUUGAAAAUGUGU
RNAcentral lists this long non-coding RNA (90 nucleotides) under Papio anubis (olive baboon). RNAcentral describes it as "lncRNA (ENSPANG00000038570.1)". The record is from RNAcentral. Lineage: Eukaryota; Metazoa; Chordata; Mammalia; Primates; Cercopithecidae.